RNAcentral lists this ribosomal RNA (627 nucleotides) under uncultured archaeon. RNAcentral describes it as "bacterial SSU rRNA". It matches the Rfam family "Archaeal small subunit ribosomal RNA", at positions 147 to 774 of the family's 1478-position model. The record is from RNAcentral.
UAAUACUGGAUAGGCAAUUAUUCCUGUAAUGGUUUUUUGUUUAAAUGUUUUUUCGCCUAAGGAUGGGUCUGCGGCCGAUUAGGUAGUUGGUUAGGUAAUGGCUUACCAAGCCUUUGAUCGGUACGGGUUGUGAGAGCAAGAGCCCGGAGAUGGAACCUGAGACAAGGUUCCAGGCCCUACGGGGUGCAGCAGGCGCGAAACCUCCGCAAUGUGAGAAAUCGCGACGGGGGGAUCCCAAGUGCCAUUCUUAACGGGAUGGCUUUUCAUUAGUGUAAAGAGCUUUUGGAAUAAGAGCUGGGCAAGACCGGUGCCAGCCGCCGCGGUAACACCGGCAGCUCUAGUGGUAGCAGUUUUUAUUGGGCCUAAAGCGUCCGUAGCCGGUUUAAUAAGUCUCUGGUGAAAUCCUGCAGCUUAACUGUGGGAAUUGCUGGAGAUACUAUUAGACUUGAGAUCGGGAGAGGUUAGAGGUACUCCCAGGGUAGAGGUGAAAUUCUGUAAUCCUGGGAGGACCGCCUGUUGCGAGGGCGUCUGACUGGAACGAUUCUGACGGUGAGGGACGAAAGCUAGGGGCGCGAACCGGAUUAGAUACCCGGGUAGUCCUAGCUGUAAACGAUGCGGACUUGGUGU